This 253-nucleotide ribosomal RNA is filed under the name uncultured prokaryote. RNAcentral's name for it is "partial 16S ribosomal RNA". It matches the Rfam family "Bacterial small subunit ribosomal RNA", at positions 525 to 777 of the family's 1533-position model. The record is from RNAcentral.
ACGAAGGGUGCAAGCGUUAAUCGGAAUUACUGGGCGUAAAGGGUGCGUAGGCGGUUCGUUAAGUCUGUCGUGAAAUCCCCGGGCUCAACCUGGGAAUGGCGAUGGAUACUGGCGAGCUAGAGUGUGUCAGAGGAUGGCGGAAUUCCGGGUGUAGCGGUGGAAUGCGUAGAGAUCCGGAAGAACACCGGAGGCGAAGGCGGCUGGCUGGGCCUGAUCUGACGCUGAGGCGCGAAAGCCAGGGGAGCAAACGGGA